AAAAACAAAAAAACAAAUCAAGCUUCAUCCACCACAUAGUCCUAAUGCAUGCCACCUGGCUUGUACCGUUUCAAGAACAUAUGAUUUAUCUAAAUGUAGGCCAAGAAUCUUGAAUUUGUUGCAAGCUUAAAAGAACAGAUUAACACCAAAAAACUAAGUAACAAAUCAACCUCAUGUGCACAAACUCCCUACCAGCUGCUACUAUGCAAAUGUCUCUUUAUUCUAAUUAACAACCAACUAUUUCUUCUUAUUUACCUUGUUGGCCAGAUCCUCAAAGUCUCUCUUCAAUGAUUUCAGCUCUUCUUCCAAUCUGUGCAAACCCUUUUCGACUCUAUAUUGAUGUCUUUUGUCGUAGUAUCUUUCUGCCGCUGCUUGUUCUUCGGCCUCCACCUUCUUUUUAUGUUCGUAAAACAUACAUACCAGGCUCGCGAUUGAUCCACCCACUGCCAAUGCAGCAACCGGCUUAGACUGCAAGCGCAAGAAAUAAUGUUGUAAGAAAAAAGUUAUCAAGAACUGACGUUCUUGUUAAAAAAGAAACGAUUUCAACCUGCUUUACGUAAAUCGUCGUGGU
Molecule: long non-coding RNA, 571 nt
Filed under: Daucus carota (carrot)
Lineage: Eukaryota; Viridiplantae; Streptophyta; Magnoliopsida; Apiales; Apiaceae
Description: long non-coding RNA (DCAR_LNC005321)
Source: RNAcentral